RNAcentral lists this long non-coding RNA (900 nucleotides) under Ananas comosus (pineapple). Its description in RNAcentral is "long non-coding RNA (ACOM_LNC032479)". Lineage: Eukaryota; Viridiplantae; Streptophyta; Magnoliopsida; Poales; Bromeliaceae. The record is from RNAcentral.
UAUCGGCAACUCUCCGUCCAUUGUUUCACCAACUCCUUACAAAUCCGAGCAGCCUCCAAUGGAUCUGAGAGCAAAUUUCUAAAAAUAACAUUAUUUCUAUGUCGUCGGAGCACCCACCAGAUUGCUGCUAGGAAGCAUUGCCUCUUCACAGCCGCCUGAUCCUUCCCUCUUUCCGUCUCAUCCUUUUCCUAAAGGGCUCUGACAUCUCGUCAAACUGGAAGCACCAUAAGAAAGCGGCUAAACACACAAGUCCUGAGUAGGUGAUUCACUAUUUCUUGCGCACAUGCACACAGAACGUACCAUUGAUACCCCGUCCACCAUCUCUUAUUUAAAUUAGGGAAAACUUCAAAAACCCUCCCUGUGGUUUCGUAGUUUUUCACUUUGCCCCCCCUGUGGUUUAAAAUGUAUCAAAUUGCUCCCCUGUGGUUUCGUUUUUAUCUUUUCGGUAGCUUUUUCGUUAAUAUUUUAUUAAAUUAUAUACAAAAAACUUUAGAUACCCAUCUAGAUUUAUCAAAAUAUUCACUAUAGUACCCUUUAAUUUUAACAUUAUCACUGAUUUAAGAAAAAAAAAUAAUGAAAUUGAUAAGAAAAAGAGAAAAAAGAAACCACAGGGGGGCAAAUUGAUACAUUUUAAACCACAUGGGGGGCAAAGUGAGAAACUACGAAACCACAGGAGGUAUUUUAGAAAUUUUCCCUUUAAAUUAUCUACAAUGAAAAUUCUUUUCUCUAUCACUAGCCAAAUGAAAGUCUUCACUUUCGUCGAUAUGCGUAAUUUUCAUAUCUUAGCUAGUAGAUUAUCUAUUACUCCCCCAUCAUUAAGCAUCUCAUACAAAGACUUAACUGUGAAUUCUUACCUCUUGUUUUAUCGCCAACAUAAAACAUCCCGACUAUUUACAGUAU